AACCCCUGGCAAUGGGCAAAGAGACACCUUGUUGUGGUGGUGUUCUUCUGUCAGUCAGAAGCAGAGCAGAUGGCAGUCCUUUGUUCACCUGAGCUUGAUGCCUGGCUUGGUGGCCAAAGCUGUUUCAUGCCUAAGGCACAUUU
This is a small nucleolar RNA of Peromyscus maniculatus bairdii (prairie deer mouse), 143 nucleotides long. RefSeq annotates it as small nucleolar RNA SNORA48. NCBI's taxonomy places the organism in Eukaryota, Metazoa, Chordata, Mammalia, Rodentia, Cricetidae. The record is from RefSeq and is a predicted model, not a curated record.